CAGGGAGACAACAAAAUGUUUAAUAUUAUUAUUUUGUCACCUUAGGUCGAUCGGUAUCUCACGCUCUUAAUUUGUUAAGAAUUUCAUUUCCUAAGUUUUUCUAGGUCACACCCAUUAUUUUCCUGGGCCAUUAGCUCAGGUGGUUAGAGCGCACCCCUGAUAAGGGUGAGGUCCCUGGUUCAAGUCCAGGAUGGCCCAUAUCUCUAUGUUGGGGGUAUAGCUCAGUUGGUAGAGCGCCUGCUUUGCAAGCAGGAUGUCAGCGGUUCGAGUCCGCUUACCUCCACUGAUUACCACCUCUUCCAUAAUCCGUAUUAGGGAAAUUUUUUGAGUUGUGAUCAAAUUCUGAACGAAUCUAGCUUCCUAAUGAAAUCAUUAAGAUGCUGGACUCAUUGAAUUAAUUUCAUUGUUUUCAGAGAACCUUGACAACUGCAUAGAUUAUUUUUUAAAGACAAUAAGCAUCUUUAAUGAUGCAGAUUUAUUAUUUGUGCUAAAGCAUUAAUAACAAUUCUAUUAAGCUGAUGCUUCAAUUUUGAAGUUAUU
RNAcentral lists this transfer RNA (540 nucleotides) under uncultured cyanobacterium. RNAcentral describes it as "partial 16S-23S ribosomal RNA intergenic spacer". The stretch from base 211 to 283 matches the Rfam family "tRNA". The record is from RNAcentral. Lineage: Bacteria; Bacillati; Cyanobacteriota.